CCUACGGGUGGCAGCAGUGAGGAAUAUUGGUCAAUGGUCGGGAGACUGAACCAGCCAAGCCGCGUGAGGGAUGAAGGUCCAGAGUAUCGUAAACCUCUUUUGUCAGGGAACAAAGGCGGGGACGUGUCCCCGGAUGAGUGUACCUGAAGAAAAAGCAUCGGCUAACUCCGUGCCAGCAGCCGCGGUAAUACGGAGGAUGCGAGCGUUAUCCGGAUUUAUUGGGUUAAAGGGGUGCGUAGGGGGUCUGUUAAGUCAGCGGUCAAAGCCGGGGGCUCAACCCCGAACCGCCGUUGAAACUGGCAGUCUUGAGUAGGAGAGAGGUAUGCGGAAUGCGCGGUGUAGCGGUGAAAUGCAUAGAUAUCGCGCAGAACUCCGAUUGCGAAGGCAGCAUGC
This 393-nucleotide ribosomal RNA is filed under the name uncultured bacterium. RNAcentral describes it as "partial 16S ribosomal RNA". It matches the Rfam family "Bacterial small subunit ribosomal RNA", at positions 338 to 729 of the family's 1533-position model. The record is from RNAcentral.